GACGGAGGGUGCAAGCGUUGUUCGGAUUGACUGGGCGUAAAGGGCGUGUAGGCGGUUGGUCAAGUCUGGUGUGAAAGCCCGGGGCUUAACCCCGGAAGUGCGCUGGAAACUAGCCAGCUAGAGCGCGAGAGAGGAGGGUGGAAUUCCUGGUGUAGCGGUGAAAUGCGUAGAUAUCAUUUGGAACGCCAAUGGUGAAAACAGCUCGCUGGGAAUGAUCUGACACUGAGACGCGAAAGCCAGGGGAGCGAACGGG
This 253-nucleotide ribosomal RNA is filed under the name uncultured bacterium. Its description in RNAcentral is "partial 16S ribosomal RNA". It matches the Rfam family "Bacterial small subunit ribosomal RNA", at positions 524 to 776 of the family's 1533-position model. The record is from RNAcentral.